AGGACGAACGCUGGCGGCGCGCUUAACACAUGCAAGUCGAGCGGAAAGGCCCUUCGGGGUACUCGAGCGGCGAACGGGUGAGUAACACGUGAGCAACCUGCCCCUGGCUCUGGGAUAGCCUCCGGAAACGGGGAUUAAUACCGGACAUGACCCUUGACCGCAUGGUUGGGGGUGGAAAGUUUUUCGGCCAGGGUGGGGCUCGCGGCCUAUCAGCUUGGUUGGGGGGGUGACGGCCCACCAAGGCGACGACGGGUAGCC
Molecule: ribosomal RNA, 258 nt
Filed under: uncultured bacterium
Lineage: Bacteria
Description: partial small subunit ribosomal RNA
Rfam family: Bacterial small subunit ribosomal RNA
Source: RNAcentral